GCGUGAGUGAUGAAGGCCUUCGGGUUGUAAAGCUCUUUUGGCGGGGACGAUGAUGACGGUACCCGCAGAAUAAGCUCCGGCUAACUUCGUGCCAGCAGCCGCGGUAAUACGAAGGGAGCUAGCGUUGUUCGGAAUUACUGGGCGUAAAGGGCGCGUAGGCGGCUCUUUUAGUCAGGCGUGAAAGCCCCGGGCUUAACCUGGGAAAUGCGUUUGAUACUGGAGAGCUUGAGUGUGGGAGAGGUUGGUGGAAUUCCCAGUGUAGAGGUGAAAUUCGU
This 275-nucleotide ribosomal RNA is filed under the name uncultured bacterium. Its description in RNAcentral is "partial 16S ribosomal RNA". It matches the Rfam family "Bacterial small subunit ribosomal RNA", at positions 399 to 691 of the family's 1533-position model. The record is from RNAcentral.